CCUGAAACCUGGAGCACUAGGGAGCAGAGAUGUCCAAGCUGCUGCAAAGGAGCCCUGGGCAGAAGCAGUGCUGAGCUGGAGCUCGUAAGCCUGGCCAGAGCCCAAAGUGAGGAGCUGCUCAGGCUCCUGCUGCCUGGAAGUGAGCAAGUGGCUGGCCCUGGAAGAAAUACAGUGUCUGCACCGGGAGCAGCAUGAGCCACUGACUCUUCGUUAGCCAACUCUCCACCUGGCCUGAAGGGCAGGGAGAGGAGCUCGGGUGGUCCUCGAGGAGGAGAUCUACAAAGCCAGUAUUCCUUAAGUGAACAGAGUGGAAUAGCCUUUCCUAGCUCUACGGAGACUGUUAAUCACCUGAUGUGUUCUUAGCCUAAAAAAAACAGGAUUCUGGUAUUCCUGCCUGCACCACAUCUUUCAGCUGCAUUUUAGUGACUGGAUCAGCACUGGUAUUUGGUUGCCUGUGCGUGGUUCUCGCACUACUGCUGACCAAGAACAUGACCAUUCAGCAGCAGCCAGCUACAGUUUUUUCUUUUCCAGUUCUAACUUUGGAAUGUAAACUACAGCCUGUCCUUCAGGUACAGCCCUGCGCGCAGAAACGCUGGAGGUGUCACCAGACAACACCCUUGCUGCAGAUAGACUGAUGCAUCAGUUAUGUGAGGAGCACGCAACUCCUAUAGAUUCUGCCACGUGAAGAAACACUCCCCGACUCGGCCCUGCUGCAGCGCAGUGCUGGAGACCGAAGGCUGGGCCGGGUGAGCCGGCUGUUACAGUGACUCGCUCCCGCUUACGGCGCACCGUGCCCUAAAGCGCUAGCAGGAGAUAAUGGCACUCGGCGCAAGGCAUUUCUUCCCUAAACGGAGAAGUAUCCUAUUACACUUACCUGCAAUGGACAGACUUGUCUGAAACCGCUA
This 905-nucleotide long non-coding RNA is filed under the name Apteryx rowi (Okarito brown kiwi). RNAcentral describes it as "lncRNA (ENSARWG00000001476.1)". The record is from RNAcentral. Lineage: Eukaryota; Metazoa; Chordata; Aves; Apterygiformes; Apterygidae.